RNAcentral lists this transfer RNA (74 nucleotides) under Chitinophaga filiformis. RNAcentral describes it as "tRNA_Pseudo_GGC". Lineage: Bacteria; Pseudomonadati; Bacteroidota; Chitinophagia; Chitinophagales; Chitinophagaceae. The record is from RNAcentral.
GGGGAAUCAGCUCAGUUGGCCAGAGCGCUUGCAUGGCAUGCAAGCAGUCGUCAGCUCGACUCCCGCAAGCGUCU